This 253-nucleotide ribosomal RNA is filed under the name uncultured bacterium. RNAcentral describes it as "partial 16S ribosomal RNA". It matches the Rfam family "Bacterial small subunit ribosomal RNA", at positions 524 to 776 of the family's 1533-position model. The record is from RNAcentral.
UACGGAGGGUGCAAGCGUUAUCCGGAUUUACUGGGUUUAAAGGGUGCGUAGGCGGAAUGGUAAGUCCGUGGUGAAAUCCCCGAGCUUAACUUGGGAACUGCCAUGGAUACUAUCAAUCUUGAAUAUCAUGGAGGUAAGCGGAAUAUGUCAUGUAGCGGUGAAAUGCUUAGAUAUGACAUAGAACACCAAUUGCGAAGGCAGCUUACUACGCGAUUAUUGACGCUGAGGCACGAAAGCUAGGGGAGCAAACAGG